This 159-nucleotide ribosomal RNA is filed under the name Spilasma duodecimguttata. RNAcentral's name for it is "partial large subunit ribosomal RNA". The record is from RNAcentral. Lineage: Eukaryota; Metazoa; Arthropoda; Arachnida; Araneae; Araneidae.
CAUAAAUGACCCAAUUCAAUUGAUUACCUGAAUAAGUUACCAUAGGGAUAACAGCAUAAUAUUUUUUUAAAGCUCUUAUUAAAAAAAAAGAUUAUGACCUCGAUGUUGAAUUAAUAAAACUAUAUUAAAGCAAAAWUAUACAAGUAGGUCUGUUCGACC